RNAcentral lists this ribosomal RNA (253 nucleotides) under uncultured bacterium. Its description in RNAcentral is "partial 16S ribosomal RNA". It matches the Rfam family "Bacterial small subunit ribosomal RNA", at positions 524 to 776 of the family's 1533-position model. The record is from RNAcentral.
UACGAAGGGGGCUAGCGUUGCUCGGAAUUACUGGGCGUAAAGGGCGCGUAGGCGGAUGGCACAGUCAGAUGUGAAAUUCCUGGGCUUAACCUGGGGGCUGCAUUUGAUACGUGUGAUCUGGAGUGAGGAAGAGGGUUGUGGAAUUCCCAGUGUAGAGGUGAAAUUCGUAGAUAUUGGGAAGAACACCGGUGGCGAAGGCGGCGACCUGGUCCUUAACUGACGCUGAGGCGUGAAAGCGUGGGGAGCGAACCGG